Molecule: long non-coding RNA, 734 nt
Organism: Patella vulgata (common limpet)
Lineage: Eukaryota; Metazoa; Mollusca; Gastropoda; Patellidae
Exons: 5
Source: RefSeq, a predicted model, not a curated record
AAAAAAUUGAUUACCAAACCGUUUUCAGACACCACCAUUUAGAUCUUUUUUCCUGAAUUUACAAUUCAUUUUUUGAAAGGCUGUUAUAUAAAAGAAAAUUAAGCGAUUCUAGACUAAAAUCUCACUCGAACCAAACUAGAAUUUGAAGACAGUCGUAAUGUUACGUCUUGUUGUGUUGUGUGCUAUAUCUGUCGCUGUUCUUACAGUAGAAAUAGAACAGGAAACAGAAAAGAUUGAAAUCGCUGAAAAUACAGAACAGAACGAAAAUGCAGAAGAACUUCAAAAGAAAUCAAGUGGUUACUGUUACAGCAGUGGUCGUAUUUUAAGGAAUGGACAACAAACUCGAGUACGACAUGAUCCUUGUGCUAUCUACAGAUGUGAUCGGGGAAGAUUGAGUCGAGUUAGUCAAGAGUGUAGAGUUGAGGGCAAAUGUCGACCAAUCGGCUCUACUUGGACAGAGAAAUGUGCUACAUAUAAAUGUGAACGCUCUCGUGGACGACGAGGUGGACAGCAAAUCCGGGUUCGAAAAGUCAGUGAAAAAUGUCUGGAUGCCCAUGGAAACUGUCGCCGACCCGGAGAGCGUUUUCCUCAUGUUGUUAAUGGACGAUACAACAGCAGAUGUACAUGUAAACAAUCCCGUAACCGUAAUACCAUCAAGACUUCCUACCAUUGUCAAUAAAUGACAUUGAUAUUCUACAUUGAUGUUUUUCAGUCAAUAAAUGGUUUAAGCAAAA